Molecule: small RNA, 72 nt
Filed under: Pseudomonas sp. URMO17WK12:I11
Lineage: Bacteria; Pseudomonadati; Pseudomonadota; Gammaproteobacteria; Pseudomonadales; Pseudomonadaceae
Description: P10
Rfam family: Pseudomonas sRNA P10
Source: RNAcentral
UAUCACCGACCCAACCAGCUGCCCCAUCCCAGGGCACGGCCCCAAAGCUAUCGCCUCCGGUUCUCCUGAUGU